UACGAAGGGUGCAAACGUUGCUCGGAAUUAUUGGGCGUAAAGAGCUCGUAGGCGGUUUGUCGCGUCUGCUGUGAAAACCCGAGGCUCAACCUCGGGCCUGCAGUGGGUACGGGCAGACUAGAGUGUGGUAGGGGAGACUGGAAUUCCUGGUGUAGCGGUGAAAUGCGCAGAUAUCAGGAGGAACACCGAUGGCGAAGGCAGGUCUCUGGGCCACUACUGACGCUGAGAAGCGAAAGCAUGGGGAGCGAACAGG
RNAcentral lists this ribosomal RNA (253 nucleotides) under uncultured bacterium. RNAcentral's name for it is "partial 16S ribosomal RNA". It matches the Rfam family "Bacterial small subunit ribosomal RNA", at positions 524 to 776 of the family's 1533-position model. The record is from RNAcentral.